RNAcentral lists this ribosomal RNA (531 nucleotides) under uncultured eukaryote. RNAcentral's name for it is "SSU rRNA". It matches the Rfam family "Eukaryotic small subunit ribosomal RNA", at positions 4 to 566 of the family's 1831-position model. The record is from RNAcentral.
CUGGUUGAUCCUGCCAGUUGCAUGUGCUUGUCUUAAAGAUUAAGCCAUGCAUGUCUAAGUAAAAGUAGUAUACAGCGAAACUGCGAAUGGCUCAUUAAAACAGUUAUAGUUUAUUCGAUAGUAAAACUACAUGGAUAACCGUGGUAAUUCUAGGGCUAAUACAUGCGCAAAUACUCGACUUCGAAGAGCUGUAUUUAUUAGAUCUAACCAUCAUUUGGUGAAUCAUAGUAACUGAUCGGACCUUGCGCUUGCGAGGCAAAUCGUUCAAGUUUCUGCCCUAUCAGCUUUCGAUGGUAGUGUAUUGGACUACCACGGCAGUCACGGGUAACGGGGAAUUAGAGUUCGAUUCCGGAGAGGGAGCCUGAGAAACGGCUACCACAUCUAAGGAAGGCAGCAGGCGCGUAAAUUACCCAAUCCCGACUCGGGGAGGUAGUGACAAGAAAUAACAACUCGAGAAGAUUUCCUCUACGAGAUUGCAAUGAGAACAAUUUAAAUCACUUAUCGAGGAACAAUUGGAGGGCAAGUCUGGUA